RNAcentral lists this ribosomal RNA (254 nucleotides) under uncultured bacterium. Its description in RNAcentral is "partial 16S ribosomal RNA". It matches the Rfam family "Bacterial small subunit ribosomal RNA", at positions 523 to 776 of the family's 1533-position model. The record is from RNAcentral.
GUACGGAGGAUCCAAGCGUUAUCCGGAAUCAUUGGGUUUAAAGGGUCCGUAGGCGGUUUGGUAAGUCAGUGGUGAAAGCCCAUCGCUCAACGGUGGAACGGCCAUUGAUACUGCCAGACUUGAAUUAUUAGGAAGUAACUAGAAUAUGUAGUGUAGCGGUGAAAUGCUUAGAGAUUACAUGGAAUACCAAUUGCGAAGGCAGGUUACUACUAAUGGAUUGACGCUGAUGGACGAAAGCGUGGGUAGCGAACAGG